AAGCUUGAAAUUUUGAAAAGAGAGGUUAUAAUAAGCCCGUCAAGCAAUUGACUAUGACACCAGAGACCUUAUGAAAUAGGUACGUCGGACCCGGGGGCAGUACCCGGCACCUCCACCAUUUAUGGGGGUGAAACAGGAUUGACGGUGUAUAGUAAAGAUAUGUGUUGUGUCCGGUGAGAUACCACCGUUAUCGGUUCAAAAAAAAUGAAUGCAAAUGAUAAUUUUGCACCAGUUGCUAUCGCUGCUUAAGCUGAGGCAACAAACUUAAAUCCUUUGUGCUUUGGUUAGUGCAGAGUGGGGGUUGAGCCACCCAGCAACAGAACGGCUCUUUU
Molecule: transfer-messenger RNA, 332 nt
Filed under: Alphaproteobacteria bacterium
Lineage: Bacteria; Pseudomonadati; Pseudomonadota; Alphaproteobacteria
Rfam family: Alphaproteobacteria transfer-messenger RNA
About the family: Bacterial tmRNA, also known as 10Sa RNA or SsrA, is named for its dual tRNA and mRNA-like properties.
Source: RNAcentral